AUCGCUUCUCGGCCUUUUGGCCAAGAUCAAGUGUAGUAUCUGUUCUUUCCAGAAUAAUACCUGAAAUGUUGGGUACGGUACUCCCUCACUCUUGUAUUAAUUUGAAUUUUGUACCUCAGGGUUAGGCGUUGUGGCUUGCCACACCACUCCCCCGGGUUGUCCUGUUAUUGCAGUACCUCCAGGUUAGGCCCGCUCUCC
Molecule: small nuclear RNA, 198 nt
Organism: Styela clava
Lineage: Eukaryota; Metazoa; Chordata; Ascidiacea; Stolidobranchia; Styelidae
Product: U2 spliceosomal RNA
Source: RefSeq, a predicted model, not a curated record